AAUCUGAGGGACUCACUUACGGGCUCCCUUCCCAAAAACGCCCAUUUAAGUAAAUGGAAUAAAAUAGAUAAAAAUAAAUCUACCAACCACCAGGCACUAGCUACAAACCACCAGCUAUCAGCCAGCUAUCAGCCACCAACCUUCACUUCAGGCCUAAUGAGAGGUGCUGAUCCCAGACUCACUGAUGGAGACAACAAUGACCACCACACACACACACACACACACACACGAGUACACACACAGGGAAGCCUUCAAUUGUGUUGUUUACAUAAUCUCUGAAUUAUUCCACUCCCCUGUGUUACAGUAUGUGCCAGGGUCCAGAGAGAGCAUAGUAUUAUGAAAAUAAUAAGCAUCUCACUGUAAGGAGUCUUUCUUCCUGCCCUGGCUGCUUAUGGGUGGCGGCAGAGGCAAUGGGAGUCAUGAAGGAGGUAACACACCUCUCAACUGCUGAGAUGAGCUGGGGCAGAGGACUGCUGGCGUGUGAGGAUACAGCAUGGUACCAAUCAGAACAGCAGCACAAAGGAGCACAGCCAUGCCCUUGUCAAAGCCCGGAGGUGCCCGUUCCCUGGUAAUGUAAAAUCCGAGAACAUCCAAGAACACGAGAAAUAAAUGUCACAUGGAACAAUGACAGACAAGAAACACUAGGGCAGGAGGAACUUCAACAGGGACAUGACGAGGGGGCAUACUAGAUACAGGUGAAAGCAGUACACUAACGAGACUAAACUGAAAAAAGAAACAGAGAAACUGGAGCAGAACAUAGAAAUGUAACCACCCGUUACACUAAUGGAGGAACCACAGAGUCCUUGUAGGAGUCGGAAGACAGGGAGGGCCUGGCACAUGGGGUGGAUACUCUUACCCAUCAUCCCCUAAAGAAGGAAACCUGGCCUCUGUGUGCCGUUGAAUAAAUCACCACACCAAGCCUCCACUAAUACUUUAAUUGUGAAUGAAUCAGACUGAUUAAUAUGGAGAAGCUGCUCUAUCAAUGUUCUGGCUAAAGCCAACCCGUGCCUGUGGACAUUGUUUCCAUUCACAGCACAUUCAACGUUACAUUCGGAUGCACACUGUACAGAAGCCACAGUUAUUAUUUGGAAUAUAUUCUUGAUAGAUUUUCUAUUGAAUUAAGACAGCCUUUCUCCGACCAGAAGAAUGAAAGAAGAUGACUGUGUGUGGCUGUGUGUGUGUGUACGUGAGAG
Esox lucius (northern pike) is the source of this 1193-nucleotide long non-coding RNA. The record is from Ensembl. NCBI's taxonomy places the organism in Eukaryota, Metazoa, Chordata, Actinopteri, Esociformes, Esocidae.